AUAGAAUCAUAUCAAUGGAUAACAGAGAGAGGA
RNAcentral lists this unclassified non-coding RNA (33 nucleotides) under Leishmania tarentolae. RNAcentral's name for it is "gLmG4". The record is from RNAcentral. Lineage: Eukaryota; Euglenozoa; Kinetoplastea; Trypanosomatida; Trypanosomatidae.